CUCCACCCCAGUCCUGAAAUGACAUCUUUGUACUGUAGUUGGAUUUCUGUGUCCACGAGGAGUCAUUUGCAAGAUACCCUAGCUGGAACUACAGGAAAAGGAGCUGUCAAUUUGUUUAGCAUCAUGAAGUCAAGGAGUAAUAUCCAAGGACAAGUAGUCAUGAUAUCGCACUAAGACUGGACUUUGUGGGAUUGAGAUUCUGGACACCAUCAGUCAGCUACUGAGAGGAAGCUGGGAAACCUGGCUAUUGUUUUAUCCCCACUGCUACAUCACAACAAAGAAAAAAAGUCAGGAUUGGAUGAAAGGAGGCUGGUGAGACAUCAACAUUAUGCCUGUAAUCUACAGGUAUCUG
This is a non-coding RNA of Pelodiscus sinensis (Chinese soft-shelled turtle), 352 nucleotides long. The record is from RefSeq and is a predicted model, not a curated record. Lineage: Eukaryota; Metazoa; Chordata; Testudines; Trionychidae.